Molecule: unclassified non-coding RNA, 651 nt
Filed under: Hevea brasiliensis (rubber tree)
Lineage: Eukaryota; Viridiplantae; Streptophyta; Magnoliopsida; Malpighiales; Euphorbiaceae
Source: RNAcentral
GUUCUGGAGUAAACUGAUGGAGAACAUGCUGGAUUAGAGAAAUUCAAGAUAUCCAACUGCCUUAAAGAAAAUCAACACAAGCUCGUCUCUUUUCUGUUAUGGAAAACAGAAACUGCCUCUCUUAGCAGGAUCCUAAAGAAUUAUUCAGUUACUGCAAGGAAAUAUUGUGAAAACUCGCACAAAUAGCAGCUUAAAGUUACAUAUCUGACAACAUUAGACAGAAACAACUCCAGGGCUUCUCCACGAAUACAUCAGCAAGUGAAAAAAAGGCAGGGACAUCAAGCUUGCAAAACUUGAGAAAAUUUAUGAACCAUUGAGUGGAAGACAAUUUAUGGGAACAAAAUAUAGUUGUCAGCAAAGAUGAAGUGACAUUGCACUGAAGUUUCUUGAGCCUAGCCGCCGCCCCCCAAACAAAGAUUCCUACCCAAUAAUACGACCAGAAUAGUUCAUCAGUAUCCUCAGCUAGAGAUGCAAAUAUGUCAGCAUGCGCUCGCACAAAGUUUCAUUAGCAUCAUGAAUUUGCUGCUUCCUGUCCUGGGGGUGUUUCAUUUAUGGAAGAUGCAUGGCUUUUGUGACAAGAGUAAAGCUGGGAAGGCAUCUCUGCAUGCCUCGGCACCAAUCAAGGAUCAAUUCCACACUACACAUCAAAAA